Molecule: ribosomal RNA, 253 nt
Filed under: uncultured bacterium
Lineage: Bacteria
Description: partial 16S ribosomal RNA
Rfam family: Bacterial small subunit ribosomal RNA
Source: RNAcentral
UACAGAGGGUGCGAGCGUUAAUCGGAAUUACUGGGCGUAAAGCGUGCGUAGACGGUUUCGUAAGUCGGGUGUGAAAUCCCCGGGCUCAACCUGGGAAUUGCAUUCGAAACUGCGAGGCUAGGGUACAGAAGAGGGAAGCGGAAUUUCUGGUGUAGCGGUGAAAUGCGUAGAUAUCAGAAGGAACAUCAGUGGCGAAAGCGGCUUCCUGGUCCAGUACCGACGUUCAAGCACGAAAGCGUGGGGAGCAAACAGG